Molecule: ribosomal RNA, 253 nt
Filed under: uncultured bacterium
Lineage: Bacteria
Description: partial 16S ribosomal RNA
Rfam family: Bacterial small subunit ribosomal RNA
Source: RNAcentral
UACGUAGGUGGCAAGCGUUGUCCGGAUUUACUGGGCGUAAAGAGCGCGCAGGCGGUCGGAUAAGUCGAAUGUGAAAGCCCCUGGCUCAACCAGGGAGGGUCAUUCGAUACUGUUCGACUCGAAGGCAGGAGAGGGAAGUGGAAUUCCGGGUGUAGUGGUGAAAUGCGUAGAUAUCCGGAGGAACACCAGUGGCGAAGGCGAGUCCCUGGACAACACCUGACACUGAGGCACGAAAGCUAGGGGAGCAAACAGG